CCUACGGGAGGCAGCAGUGGGGAAUAUUGGACAAUGGGGGGCAACCCUGAUCCAGCCAUGCCGCGUGAGUGAUGGCGGCCUUAGGGUUGUAAAGCUCUUUUCUCCGGGACGAUAAUGACGGUACCGGAGGAAUAAGCCCCGGCUAACUUCGUGCCAGCAGCCGCGGUAAUACGAAGGGGGCUAGCGUUGCUCGGAAUCACUGGGCGUAAAGGGCGCGUAGGCGGCUGACUUAGUCGAGGGUGAAAGCCCGUGGCUCAACCACGGAAUGGCCUUCGAUACUGGUUGGCUUGAGACCGGAAGAGGACAGCGGAACUGCGAGUGUAGAGGUGAAAUUCGUAGAUAUUCGCAAGAACACCAGUGGCGAAGGCGGCUGUCUGGUCCGGUUCUGACGCUGAGGCGCGAAAGCGUGGGGAGCAAACAGGAUUAGAUACCCUGGUAGUCCACGCUGUAAACGAUGAAUGCUAGCCGUUGGUCUGCAUGCAGUCGAGUGCGCGCACGACAUAGNAUCGCCGUGGGAGGUACGGUCGCGAGAAUUAAAACUUAAAAGUAAAGUUAGACGGCGUGAGACGUGCCGAACGGACGACGACGAGGGAGGUAGG
Molecule: ribosomal RNA, 599 nt
Filed under: uncultured bacterium
Lineage: Bacteria
Description: bacterial SSU rRNA
Rfam family: Bacterial small subunit ribosomal RNA
Source: RNAcentral